AUUGAACGCUGGCGGCAGGCUUAACACAUGCAAGUCGAACGGUAGCAGGAGAAAGCUUGCUUUCUUGCUGACGAGUGGCGGACGGGUGAGUAAUGCUUGGGAAUCUGGCUUAUGGAGGGGGAUAACUACGGGAAACUGUAGCUAAUACCGCGUAGAAUCGGAAGAUGAAAGUGCGGGACCGCAAGGCCGCAUGCCAUGAGAUGAGCCCAAGUGGGAUUAGGUAGUUGGUGGGGUAAAGGCCUACCAAGCCUGCGAUCUCUAGCUGGUCUGAGAGGAUGGCCAGCCACACUGGAACUGAGACACGGUCCAGACUCCUACGGGAGGCAGCAGUGGGGAAUAUUGCGCAAUGGGGGGAACCCUGACGCAGCCAUGCCGCGUGAAUGAAGAAGGCCUUCGGGUUGUAAAGUUCUUUCGGUAUUGAGGAAGGUUGAUGUGUUAAUAGUACAUCAAAUUGGCGUUAAAUACAGAAGAAGCACCGGCUAACUCCGUGCCAGCAGCCGCGGUAAUACGGAGGGUGCGAGCGUUAAUCGGAAUAACUGGGCGUAAAGGGCACGCAGGCGGUUAUUUAAGUGAGGUGUGAAAGCCCCGGGCUUAACCUGGGAAUUGCAUUUCAGACUGGGUAACUAGAGUACUUUAGGGAGGGGUAGAAUUCCACGUGUAGCGGUGAAAUGCGUAGAGAUGUGGAGGAAUACCGAAGGCGAAGGCAGCCCCUUGGGAAUGUACUGACGCUCAUGUGCGAAAGCGUGGGGAGCAAACAGG
Molecule: ribosomal RNA, 759 nt
Filed under: Haemophilus influenzae
Lineage: Bacteria; Pseudomonadati; Pseudomonadota; Gammaproteobacteria; Pasteurellales; Pasteurellaceae
Description: bacterial SSU rRNA
Rfam family: Bacterial small subunit ribosomal RNA
Source: RNAcentral